UACAGAGGGCCCGAGCGUUGUUCGGAAUCACUGGGCGUAAAGGGUGCGUAGGCGGGUCUUUAAGUCAGGGGUGAAAUCCUGGAGCUCAACUCCAGAACUGCCUUUGAUACUGAGGAUCUUGAGUUCGGGAGAGGUGAGUGGAACUGCGAGUGUAGAGGUGAAAUUCGUAGAUAUUCGCAAGAACACCAGUGGCGAAGGCGGCUCACUGGCCCGAUACUGACGCUGAGGCACGAAAGCGUGGGGAGCAAACAGG
This 253-nucleotide ribosomal RNA is filed under the name uncultured bacterium. Its description in RNAcentral is "partial 16S ribosomal RNA". It matches the Rfam family "Bacterial small subunit ribosomal RNA", at positions 524 to 776 of the family's 1533-position model. The record is from RNAcentral.